Unclassified non-coding RNA from Gorilla gorilla gorilla (western lowland gorilla), 288 nucleotides. It matches the Rfam family "Metazoan signal recognition particle RNA". From Rfam's summary of the family: The signal recognition particle (SRP) is a universally conserved ribonucleoprotein. NCBI's taxonomy places the organism in Eukaryota, Metazoa, Chordata, Mammalia, Primates, Hominidae. The record is from Ensembl.
GCCAGGUGUGGUGGCGCAUGCCUGUAAUCCCAGCUACUCGGGAGGCUGAGGCAGGAGAAUCACUUGAACCCAGGAGGUGGAGGUUGCAAUGGGCCCAGAUCGUGCCACUGCACUCCAGCCUGGGAGAUGGAGUGAGAGUCCAUCUCAAAAAAAAAUUUUUUUAAACAAAGAUGCGCCAGGCGCAGUGGCUCACGCCUGUAAUCCCAGCACUUUGGGAGGCCGAGGCAGGCGGAUCACGAGGUCAGGAGAUCAAGACCAUCCUGGCUAACACAGUGAAACCCCUUCUCU